CGUUAUAACCGGCGAUUUCCGAAUGGGGAAACCCAGUGUGACUCGUCACACUAUCAUUAACUGAAUCCAUAGGUUAAUGAGGCGAACCGGGGGAACUGAAACAUCUAAGUACCCCGAGGAAAAGAAAUCAACCGAGAUUCCCCCAGUAGCGGCGAGCGAACGGGGAGGAGCCCAGAGCCUGAAUCAGCAUGUGUGUUAGUGGAAGCGUCUGGAAAGGCGCGCGAUACAGGGUGACAGCCCCGUACACAAAAGCGCAUGUGCUGUGAGCUCGAUGAGUAGGGCGGGACACGUGGUAUCCUGUCUGAAUAUGGGGGGACCAUCCUCCAAGGCUAAAUACUCCUGACUGACCGAUAGUGAACCAGUACCGUGAGGGAAAGGCGAAAAGAACCCCGGCGAGGGGAGUGAAAAAGAACCUGAAACCGU
Molecule: ribosomal RNA, 423 nt
Filed under: Salmonella enterica subsp. enterica serovar Heidelberg
Lineage: Bacteria; Pseudomonadati; Pseudomonadota; Gammaproteobacteria; Enterobacterales; Enterobacteriaceae
Also listed under: 1 other name
Description: partial 23S ribosomal RNA
Rfam family: Bacterial large subunit ribosomal RNA
Source: RNAcentral